Molecule: ribosomal RNA, 253 nt
Filed under: uncultured bacterium
Lineage: Bacteria
Description: partial 16S ribosomal RNA
Rfam family: Bacterial small subunit ribosomal RNA
Source: RNAcentral
UACGUAGGGGGCAAGCGUUAUCCGGAUUUACUGGGUGUAAAGGGAGCGUAGACGGUUAUGCAAGUCAGAAGUGAAAGCCCAAAGCUCAACUUCGGGACUGCUUUUGAAACUGUGUAACUAGAGUGCAGGAGGGGUAAGCGGAAUUCCUAGUGUAGCGAUGAAAUGCGUAGAUAUUAGGAGGAACACCGGCGGCGAAGGCGGCUUACUGGACUGUAACUGACGUUGAGGCUCGAAAGCGUGGGGAGCAAACAGG